UACGAGUGCCCCAAGCGUUAUCCGGAAUCAUUGGGCGUAAAGGGUGUGUAGGUGGUUUGGUUAGUCUUCUGUAAAAAUCUCGAGCUCAACUCGAGACCUGCGGGAGAAACGGCCAGACUAGAGGGUGCGAGGGGUGAAUGGAACUCAUGGAGUAGGGGUGAAAUCCGUUGAUAUCAUGGGGAACACCAAAAGCGAAGGCAAUUCACUGGCGCAUUCCUGACACUGAGACACGAAAGCGUGGGUAGCGAACGGG
RNAcentral lists this ribosomal RNA (253 nucleotides) under uncultured prokaryote. RNAcentral describes it as "partial 16S ribosomal RNA". It matches the Rfam family "Bacterial small subunit ribosomal RNA", at positions 524 to 776 of the family's 1533-position model. The record is from RNAcentral.